AGAGAAGUCCCUCCCCCGAGGCUCUGAGGCCUCGCCCAGCUCCCUCCUGCUGUGUGGAGGAUGCCCUGCUCAGGAGGGGAGAAUGAGGCCCAGAAAUGGGACAGCAGAGCCGGGAGCCAUCAAGCUGACGGGACUCCUGUCCACCAGUGACACAUACAUUGAUGGAAGGCUGGUCUCCGGCAUUGGGAGGUGUGGCUGCCGGCUGGGAGCUGCUCUGUGAUAGCCUAGGACAUCCAGGUCACGUCCUCGAGGGCCCCACAGCAUCCUAGGCAGGGACAUAGACAAGUCCCUCCCCCAAACCCAAAGGCCUCCUUUCCCAGCGUGGGAGACACCAAAGAUCCAAGACGAGCUGCCCGGAGGCCCUGCGUCCUGAGAAGUGGAGGACUCAUCUGGCAACGACAAGGAUGCCCGUUGGGCCCGGGGCUUCGUGCACGCUCAGCUCUGGGUCCCCAGGCCCCCAGGCACCGCAUGGGCCCCAUGGGGAGGCCGCCUGAGCCCACAGGGAGGCUGAGGGGCCAUCUCUUGCUCACACUCCCCAUGGACGGGGUUGGACUUGCCCGCCACUCUCCUUCCGCCUGUGUGGCGAGUUCCUCUUGGGGCUCUUUGCCUUGGAAGCUGUCCUGUCUUCCCCAGGCGUCCACCACUUUGUCCUCUUCCAGUUAGAUCGCUCAGAGCCAGGUGGGGCCUUUACACAGGAGUGUUCCCAGCCUCCGGCUGCAAACAGGACAGCUUGGACGGACGGCCAAGGGAGCCCUUCGCUACACGUGGCGUUGUUCACCAUGACUCCUACUGCUCCAAGUCCCUCCUGCGCACCAUCUAGCCAGGUCCUCCCAGGAGCCUCGUGAACGAGGUAUUGUUUCUGCCCCUAUUUCACAUAUGGGUCCUCAGAGAGAUGGAGAGAGUCACUUGAGGACCCUGGCAUGGUGACUCAUGGCAGGGGGCUGUGGGCCUGGGUCAAUGCAGCCCCAGACCCCAAAGUGUGAGGCUGGGGGGCCGAGGGCCCCAGGGAGGCCCCUGACCUCAGCCUCAGAAGCCUAGGCCAGCAGGAAGUCCCCACCCCACUUUCCCCCAAAGGAAGCCGUGAAAGCCCCUCCCUGCCAUUUUCAGAGCCUUCCCCUGGCUUUCCCGGGCCCAGCCCCAGGUGGAGAAGUAAAGCAAGGCUACAGCCCACGGGCCCAUCAUGGGCUUUGCACAGACACCUGUGGGGGUCCCUGCAUUGCUGAGUGAUUGAGGUCUCACCCUAGGAGCUGGAGUAGGGGUGCAGCUCAGUCAAAAUGAUCUGCUUGAGCUGGCCACAUGUCGUCACCCUUGGCCCCUUAGCAAGGCCAGUCAGGUCCUCCUGGAGCUCACCUCGUCUGUGGAGCUGACACCUCCCCUGUUCCCGUGUGUUGACCGAAACAUCGCCAGUGCACUAACUCUGAUCUUGGCCCGGUCUGGGGGCAAGAAAACAGACGCAAAGCGUGCGAAGGCCACCUGCCGGCAAGUGACAGAACUAGAGCCUGACGGUGGCUCCCCGGCCAUCCUGGCUCCCCAACCUGGGCUCCUGGGGUGAGUCCUCCUGGUACCA
RNAcentral lists this long non-coding RNA (1567 nucleotides) under Equus asinus (donkey). RNAcentral describes it as "lncRNA (ENSEASG00005028204.1, ENSEASG00020039277.1)". The record is from RNAcentral. Lineage: Eukaryota; Metazoa; Chordata; Mammalia; Perissodactyla; Equidae.